RNAcentral lists this ribosomal RNA (373 nucleotides) under Trichocomaceae sp. LM548. RNAcentral's name for it is "SSU rRNA". It matches the Rfam family "Eukaryotic small subunit ribosomal RNA", at positions 61 to 437 of the family's 1831-position model. Lineage: Eukaryota; Fungi; Ascomycota; Eurotiomycetes; Eurotiales; Trichocomaceae. The record is from RNAcentral.
AAGUAUAAGCAACUUGUACUGUGAAACUGCGAAUGGCUCAUUAAAUCAGUUAUCGUUUAUUUGAUAGUACCUUACUACAUGGAUACCUGUGGUAAUUCUAGAGCUAAUACAUGCUAAAAACCCCGACUUCAGGAAGGGGUGUAUUUAUUAGAUAAAAAACCAACGCCCUUCGGGCUCCUUGGUGAAUCAUAAUAACUUAACGAAUCGCAUGGCCUUGCGCCGGCGAUGGUUCAUUCAAAUUUCUGCCCUAUCAACUUUCGAUGGUAGGAUAGUGGCCUACCAUGGUGGCAACGGGUAACGGGGAAUUAGGGUUCGAUUCCGGAGAGGGAGCCUGAGAAACGGCUACCACAUCCAAGGAAGGCAGCAGGCGCGC